GAUUGAACGCUGGCGGCAGGCCUAACACAUGCAAGUCGAGCGGCAGCGGAAAGUAGCUUGCUACUUUGCCGGCGAGCGGCGGACGGGUGAGUAAUGUCUGGGAAACUGCCUGAUGGAGGGGGAUAACUACUGGAAACGGUAGCUAAUACCGCAUAACGUCGCAAGACCAAAGAGGGGGACCUUCGGGCCUCUUGCCAUCAGAUGUGCCCAGAUGGGAUUAGCUAGUAGGUGGGGUAACGGCUCACCUAGGCGACGAUCCCUAGCUGGUCUGAGAGGAUGACCAGCCACACUGGAACUGAGACACGGUCCAGACUCCUACGGGAGGCAGCAGUGGGGAAUAUUGCACAAUGGGCGCAAGCCUGAUGCAGCCAUGCCGCGUGUAUGAAGAAGGCCUUCGGGUUGUAAAGUACUUUCAGCGGGGAGGAAGGUGCUGAGGUUAAUAACCUCAGCAAUUGACGUUACCCGCAGAAGAAGCACCGGCUAACUCC
This 488-nucleotide ribosomal RNA is filed under the name Enterobacteriaceae bacterium 'ARUP UnID 304'. Its description in RNAcentral is "bacterial SSU rRNA". It matches the Rfam family "Bacterial small subunit ribosomal RNA", at positions 27 to 504 of the family's 1533-position model. Lineage: Bacteria; Pseudomonadati; Pseudomonadota; Gammaproteobacteria; Enterobacterales; Enterobacteriaceae. The record is from RNAcentral.